This 376-nucleotide ribosomal RNA is filed under the name uncultured organism. RNAcentral describes it as "partial 16S ribosomal RNA". It matches the Rfam family "Bacterial small subunit ribosomal RNA", at positions 523 to 896 of the family's 1533-position model. The record is from RNAcentral.
CGGGGGGGGGGGCAAGCGUUGUUCGGAAUUACUGGGCGUAAAGGGCGCGUAGGCGGUCCCGCAAGUCCUCCGUGAAAUCCCACAGCUCAACUGUGGAACUGCGAGGGAAACUGCAGGACUUGAGUCCGGGAGAGGAGAGUGGAAUUCCCAGUGUAGCGGUGAAAUGCGUAGAUAUUGGGAGGAACACCGGUGGCGAAGGCGGCUCUCUGGACCGGUACUGACGCUGAGGCGCGAAAGCUAGGGGAGCAAACGGGAUUAGAUACCCCGGUAGUCCUAGCCUUAAACGAUGAGCACUUGGUGUGGCGGGUAUCGACCCCUGCCGUGCCGAAGCUAACGCAUUAAGUGCUCCGCCUGGGGAGUACGGUCGCAAAGGCUG